Molecule: ribosomal RNA, 497 nt
Filed under: uncultured bacterium
Lineage: Bacteria
Description: partial 16S ribosomal RNA
Rfam family: Bacterial small subunit ribosomal RNA
Source: RNAcentral
GAUGAACGCUGGCGGCGUGCCUAAUACAUGCAAGUCGAGCGAACGGACGAGAAGCUUGCUUCUCUGAUGUUAGCGGCGGACGGGUGAGUAACACGUGGAUAACCUACCUAUAAGACUGGGAUAACUUCGGGAAACCGGAGCUAAUACCGGAUAAUAUUUUGAACCGCAUGGUUCAAAAGUGAAAGACGGUCUUGCUGUCACUUAUAGAUGGAUCCGCGCUGUAUUAGCUAGUUGGUAAGGUAACGGCUUACCAAGGCAACGAUUCAUAGCCGACCUGAGAGGGUGAUCGGCCACACUGGAACUGAGACACGGUCCAGACUCCUACGGGAGGCAGCAGUAGGGAAUCUGCCGCAAUGGGCGAAAGCCUGACGGAGCAACGCCGCGUGAGUGAUGAAGGUCUUCGGAUCGUAAAACUCUGUUAUUAGGGAAGAACAUAUGUGUAAGGAACUGUGCACAUCUUGACGGUACCUAAUCAGAAAGCCACGGCUAACUACGUG